GCAACAGUGGUCUAACGGUUAUGAUCCGGUCUUCCCAUUGUGUUAACGCUUUGGCCGGGAAAGGGGUUCGACUCCCCUCUGUUGCA
Lentinula aciculospora is the source of this 86-nucleotide non-coding RNA. The record is from the annotation of a GenBank genome assembly. Lineage: Eukaryota; Fungi; Basidiomycota; Agaricomycetes; Agaricales; Omphalotaceae.